RNAcentral lists this long non-coding RNA (1106 nucleotides) under Nicotiana benthamiana. RNAcentral's name for it is "long non-coding RNA (NBEN_LNC013275)". The record is from RNAcentral. Lineage: Eukaryota; Viridiplantae; Streptophyta; Magnoliopsida; Solanales; Solanaceae.
UGCCUUCAAAUGAUUUAUUGUAGGUGCUUCCAUAUAUCGACUUACUAGUCCAACUCCGUAGAGAAUAUCUGGCCUCGUGCAGGUUAGGUACCUCAGACUUCCAACCGGAAGGCGAAUAAAACAGACAAUAGUCAAUUGUACCUUUGAUGUAGCGAAGUAUCCUCUUUGAUGCCUUCAAGUGAUUUAUUGUAGGUGCUUUCAUAUAUCGACUUACUAGUCCAACUCCGUAGAGAAUAUCUGGCCUCGUGCAGGUUAGGUACCUCAGACUUCCAACCAAACUCUUGUAUUGUGUUGGGUGAUUUAUUGUAGGUGCUUUCAUAUAUCGACUUACUAGUCCAACUCCGUAGAGAAUAUCUGGCCUCGUGCAGGUUAGGUACCUCUGACUUCCAACUAAACUCUUGUAUUGUGUUGGGUCCACCAAGUAUCCUUCAUCAUCUUUUGACAACUUGAGGUUGCAAUCCACCGGUGUGUUCAGCGACUUGCAGUCAUUCAUCUUAAACUUCUUCAGCAUCUCCUUCGCAUAACGUUAUUGGGAUAUGAAUAUUCCUUCUUUCUUUUGUUUCACCUCGAUCCCAAGAUAGUAAGCCAUAAGUCCAAUGUCGGUCAUAUCAAACUCCCGAACCAUUGCUUUCUUGAACUCCUCGAACAUUUUGGGCCGGUGAAUAUCAAGUCAUCCACGUAUAGGCACAUAAGCAUAACAUCUCCAUCCUUGCUUACUUUGGUGUAGAGGGCAUGCUCAUGUGGGCAUUUUGUAAAGUCAUUCUGCUGGAAAUACUUGUCUAUUGUGCUAUUCCAUGCCCGAGCGCUUGCUUCAACCCGUAUAAGGCCUUUUUCAAUUUCAGCACCUUAUUCUCUUGGACUUUCACGAUGUAUCCCGAAGAUUGUUCUAUAUAGACUUCUUCUUCUAAGUGGCCAUUAAGGAACGCAGAUUUGACAUCCAUUUGAUAAAUCUUCCAAUUAUGCUGAGCCGCAAAUGAGAUCAUCAAUCUUAUAGUUUCUAGACGAGCGACAGGAGCAAAUACCUCGUCAUAGUCUAUGCCGGCUCGUUGACUAUAUCCCUUCGCCACCAACCAUGCCUUGUAUCUUUCAACUUCACCUUUGGAAUU